RNAcentral lists this ribosomal RNA (490 nucleotides) under uncultured bacterium. RNAcentral describes it as "bacterial SSU rRNA". It matches the Rfam family "Bacterial small subunit ribosomal RNA", at positions 28 to 507 of the family's 1533-position model. The record is from RNAcentral.
GAUGAACGCUAGCGGCAGGCUUAACACAUGCAAGUCGAGGGGCAGCAUGACGGAACUUUCGGGUUUUGUUGAUGGCGACCGGCGCAAGGGUGCGUAACGCGUGAGCAACUUGCCCGUUUCUGGGGAAUAACCGUUGGAAACGACGACUAAUACCGCAUAUAUGGUUUUGAGGCAUCUCUUAAUCAGGAAAGAAUUAUCGGACAAGGAUGGGCAUGCGGGACAUUAGGUAGUUGGGGGUGUAACGGACCACCAAGCCGACGAUGUCUAGGGGUUCUGAGAGGAAGGUCCCCCACACUGGUACUGAGACACGGACCAGACUCCUACGGGAGGCAGCAGUGAGGAAUAUUGGUCAAUGGGCGAGAGCCUGAACCAGCCAAGUCGCGUGAGGGAAGACGGUACUAAGUAUUGUAAACCUCUUUGUCAGGGAACAAAGAGACCACGUGUGGUAAGAUGAGUGUACCUGAAGAAAAAGCAAUCGGCUAACUCCGUG